GACGAACGCUGGCGGCGUGCUUAACACAUGCAAGUCGAACGGAAAGGCCUGCUUUCCCUUGUGGAUUGCGGGUACUCGAGUGGCGAACGGGUGAGUAACACGUGAGUGAUCUGCCCCCAACUUGGGUAUAAGCCUGGGAAACUGGGUCUAAUUCCCGAUAGGACUGCAGGGUGGUGCCUGUGGUGGAAAACGAUUUUCUAGUGGUUGGGGAUGAGCUCGCGGCCUAUCAGCUUGUUGGUGGGGUAAUGGCCUACCAAGGCGGCGACGGGUAGCCGGCCUGAGAGGGUGGACGGCCACAUUGGGACUGAGAUACGGCCCAGACUCCUACGGGAGGCAGCAGUGGGGAAUAUUGCACAAUGGGCGGAAGCCUGAUGCAGCGACGCCGCGGGGGGGAUGACGGACUUCGGGUUGUAAACUCCUUUCGACCGCGAGGAAGCCACCUGGUUGGAAGGGUGGUGACGGUAGUGGUAGAAGAAGCACCGGCUAACUACGUG
This 494-nucleotide ribosomal RNA is filed under the name uncultured bacterium. RNAcentral describes it as "partial 16S ribosomal RNA". It matches the Rfam family "Bacterial small subunit ribosomal RNA", at positions 28 to 507 of the family's 1533-position model. The record is from RNAcentral.